Molecule: ribosomal RNA, 528 nt
Filed under: uncultured bacterium
Lineage: Bacteria
Description: bacterial SSU rRNA
Rfam family: Bacterial small subunit ribosomal RNA
Source: RNAcentral
GACGAACGCUGGCGGCGCGCUUAACACAUGCAAGUCGUGCGGUGUCGAAGGCAAGUCUUACGACAAGCCUUCGACACAGCGGCGAACGGGUGAGUAACACGUGAGUAGCUGUCCUAAGGAGGGGGAUAACGCCUGGAAACGGGUGCUAACACCCCAUAUGCCUCGCAAGAGGUGAAAGUGUACUUGCUACAGCCUUAGGGUGUGCUCGCGGCCUAUCAGCUAGUUGGUGAGGUAACGGCUCACCAAGGCCAAGACGGGUAGCCGGCCUGAGAGGGUGUACGGCCACACUGGAAUUGAGAUACGGUCCAGACUCCUACGGGAGGCAGCAGUGGGGAAUCUUGGGCAAUGGGCGAAAGCCUGACCCAGCGACGCCGCGUUGGGGAUGAAGCCCUUCGGGGCAUAAACCCAUGUUGUAGGGGACGAAGAAAGUGACGGUACCCUACGAGAAAGCCCCGGCCAACUACGUGCCAGCAGCCGCGGGUAAAAUAGUACGUACGUACCUCGUAGGACGGGCGGUCGGCGACGGAC